AGGUUAUACUGAGGACACCUUCUCAUCAAAUCUUUGAACCGGUUCCAUGCUUCACACAUUGAUUCACCCUCAGAUUGAGUGAAUUUGGUGAUAUCAUUCACCAUCCU
Gastrolobium bilobum is the source of this 107-nucleotide small nucleolar RNA. The record is from RefSeq and is a predicted model, not a curated record. NCBI's taxonomy places the organism in Eukaryota, Viridiplantae, Streptophyta, Magnoliopsida, Fabales, Fabaceae.